CCUACGGGAGGCUGCAGGGGGGAAUAUUGCACAAUGGGGGCAAGCCUGAUGCAGCGACGCCGCGUGAGCGAUGAAGGCCUUCGGGUCGUAAAGCUCUGUCCUAAGGGAAGAAUAAUGACGGUACCUUAGGAGGAAGCCCCGGCUAACUACGUGCCAGCAGCCGCGGUAAUACGUAGGGGGCGAGCGUUAUCCGGAAUCACUGGGCGGAAAGGGUGCGUAGGCGGCCAAUUAAGCCAGGGGUGAAAGGCUACGGCUCAACCGUAGUAAGCCUUUGGAACUGAAUGGCUUGAGAGCAGGAGAGGGGAGUGGAAUUCCUAGUGUAGCGGUACACCGGGUAGAUAUUAGGAGGAACACCAGUGGCGAAGGCGAAUCUCUGGACUGUAACUGACGCUGAGGCACGAAAGCGUGGGGAGCGAACAGGAUUAGAUACCCGAGUAGUC
RNAcentral lists this ribosomal RNA (440 nucleotides) under uncultured bacterium. RNAcentral's name for it is "bacterial SSU rRNA". It matches the Rfam family "Bacterial small subunit ribosomal RNA", at positions 338 to 795 of the family's 1533-position model. The record is from RNAcentral.